This 1102-nucleotide non-coding RNA is filed under the name Pseudogymnoascus sp. VKM F-4517 (FW-2822). RNAcentral describes it as "Bacterial small subunit ribosomal RNA". It matches the Rfam family "Bacterial small subunit ribosomal RNA", at positions 1 to 1152 of the family's 1533-position model. Lineage: Eukaryota; Fungi; Ascomycota; Leotiomycetes; Thelebolales; Thelebolaceae. The record is from Rfam by way of RNAcentral.
AUAUAUUUGAGUUUGAUGAUGGCUCUGAAUGAACGCUGUCCAAAUGCUUGACACAUGCUAAUCGUACGUUUAAUAUAAUAUAAUAGUGUUCAGGUUAAUCCUGUAAAACUAUUUAUUUAAUUAAAAGUGGUGUACAGGUGAGUAUAUGGUAUUUUGGCUACCUUAAAGUAAGGCUAAUAAAUACCUUAUAAAGAAAGGAAGUAAAUUUCCGCUUUAAGAUGACAAUAAAUAUCUCGGAUAGGUAGUAGUUAAGGUAAUGACUUAACUAGCUUAAAAUUCCGUAAUCGAGGCUGAGAGGUCCAUCGAUCACAUUGGGUCUGAAAAAACCCCAAUACGUAUAGUACAGCAGUGAGGAAUAUUGGUCAAUAGCCUAAGGGCUGAACCAGCAACUUGGAAGAACGUAAAGCUUCGGCUUGUGAAACCUAAAAUUAUAGGUGAACAUCGACUAUGUCGAAUAAAGUUCUAGAUAUAAUAUUGAUUAUGACAAUUUUUUAUCUAUUAGUCUUGACCAAAAUACGUGCCAGCAGUCGCGGUAAUACGUAAAAGACAAGUGUUAUUCAUCUUUAAUAGGUUUAAAGGGUACCUAGACGGUAUUAUUAGCCCAAAAAAGGGUACAAUUAUACUAGAGUUUUAUAGGAGAAGGAAGUAUUUAUGGAGGAGAGUUUAUAUUUCAUUAUACCUUAAAGACUGGUAAAGGCGAAAGCAACCUUCUAUCUAAUAACUGACGUUGAGGUACGAAGGCCUGGGUAGCAAACAGGAUUAGAUACCCUAGUAGUCCAGGCAGAGAAUUAUGAAUGCCAUAUGCUAGAUUAAUUUAGCAUAUAAAUGAAAGUGUAAGCAUUUCACCUUAAGAGUAAUGCGGCAACGCAGAAACUGAAAUCAUUAGGCCGUUUCUGAAAUCAGUAGUGAAGUAUGUUAUUUAAUUCGAUAUUCCACGAAAAACCUUACCACAAUUUGCAUAUUAUUUUUAAUCUUAAUUGCUUAAAAAUAAAACAAGCGUUGCACGGCUGUCUUCAGUUAAUGUCGUGAGAUUUUGGUUUGUUCCAUAAAAUUAACGUAAACCCUUGCUUUAUUUAUAAAUAGUAUUUUAUAAAGCAGUUCG